UGCUCUUAUUAUAUAUACUCUUAACUUCAUCUCUUUUUUUAAAGGCACCUAUAUACAUAGAUAGUUAAUAGGUUUAUUAUUACUGUUAGAGAAAGUUUGAAAUAACCAUAUUACAAAUUACUGACUGAAAACUGUACUUAUUGGAAACCCAGACUGUGUAUUGGUGGUAUUGUAACACAAUGAUGCAAUUAGUUUAAUACGUCAUGAAGAUUUCUGUGAAAGUGAAACAACAGAAAGUGCUCAAUGUAAACACAUAUCAGAUGUGCGCCAUCAGGGAGGUGGCUGCAGGUCUGCAUUAAAGCACUGUGUAAAGUCCCAUCUCUUCAUUUCAUUUAUCAGCUUGUAUUUGCAUCACAGUGAUGGCAGCAGCAGUUUUGGACAGAAGCAGAGGGGUGGCUGUUUUCAGCAUCAACAAAGGCCUGUUCCUCAUGUCCACCCUGCUGUGUCUGAUUUGCCUUUCAACUUCACUGAUAAACAAGAACCAACUGUUCCAGGAAGUGCUCAAGGAAAGUUACAAGGAAGCACAACAGGAAAUGGAUGAACUGAUGGAGUGCAAGUCAGACAUGCUGAAAGCUUCAGAGCUGGUAGAUGAAUAUCUGGCUCUCAUGGACCCAAUGAUAGCAGUGAUCAAGAAAAUCGACACACUGGUUGGUGAAACAGAUCCUGACACAGAUAUGGAGGACCUUAAGGUUUCCAUAGAAGAAACCAAAGCUGAACUAGACAGCACAAAUGAAGAGCUUGAUGAGGAAAUUGCAUCCAUGGAAAAGAAACUGAGAACAAUAAAGACAUUGAUUGAAAACGUUGGGGAGCAGCACACUGAACUGUAAAUACAUAAGUAUUUAUUUACAAGUGCUGCAUCCCUUUAAUUUGCACUAAAAUAGUCUCUGAAAAUACUUGUUUUACCUGUUUGAAAACAAUGUCAAUGCAAAAUAAUACAGAAU
RNAcentral lists this long non-coding RNA (941 nucleotides) under Oreochromis niloticus (Nile tilapia). RNAcentral's name for it is "lncRNA (ENSONIG00000038963.1)". The record is from RNAcentral. Lineage: Eukaryota; Metazoa; Chordata; Actinopteri; Cichliformes; Cichlidae.